This 368-nucleotide unclassified non-coding RNA is filed under the name uncultured fungus. Its description in RNAcentral is "sequence contains ITS1". The stretch from base 1 to 106 matches the Rfam family "5.8S ribosomal RNA", at positions 49 to 154 of the family's 154-position model. The record is from RNAcentral. Lineage: Eukaryota; Fungi.
GAAAGCGCGAAACGUAAUGUGAAUUGCAGAAUUCAGUGAAUCAUCGAAUCUUUGAACGCAUCUUGCGCUCCUUGGUAUUCCGAGGAGCAUGCCUGUUUGAGUGUCGUGAAUACUCUCAAACUCUUAGUUUUUUUAUAAGGACUUUGAGUUUGGAUUUGGAUGUUGCAGUGACUUUGGUCAUGGCUCAUCUCGAAAUGUAUUAGCUGGUCCACCUCGGUCGUAACAAACGGUGUGAUAAGAAACAUUCAUUUGUGACUGUAGCGCUGCUGUUACUGACUGGAUAAAGACUGCUUCUAAUGGUCUGCUUGCAGACAAACUUCACUAUGUCAUCUGACCUCAAAUCAGGUAGGACUACCCGCUGAACUUAA